AUUGAACGCUAGCGGGAUGCUUUACACAUGCAAGUCGAACGAGUGGCGGACGGGUGAGUAAUAUAUCGGAACGUGCCCAGUAGCGGGGGAUAACUACUCGAAAGAGUGGCUAAUACCGCAUACUAUUUGAGUGGCUCAUAUCGGAUUAGCUAGUUGGUGGGGUAAAGUACCCCCAAGGCAACGAUCCGUAGCUGGUUUGAGAGGACGGCCAUCCACACUUGGACUGGGACACGGCCCAGACGCCUACGGAAGGCAGCAGUGGGGAAUUUUGGACAGUGGGGGAAACCCUGAUCCAGCCAUCCCGCGUGUAUGAGAAGGCCUUCGGGUUGUAAAGGACUUUUGGCAGAGAAGCGGUAUCUGCAGAAUAAGCACCGGCUAACUACAUGCCAGCAGCCGCGGUAAUUC
RNAcentral lists this ribosomal RNA (405 nucleotides) under uncultured bacterium. RNAcentral's name for it is "partial 16S ribosomal RNA". It matches the Rfam family "Bacterial small subunit ribosomal RNA", at positions 30 to 526 of the family's 1533-position model. The record is from RNAcentral.